RNAcentral lists this ribosomal RNA (253 nucleotides) under uncultured bacterium. RNAcentral describes it as "partial 16S ribosomal RNA". It matches the Rfam family "Bacterial small subunit ribosomal RNA", at positions 524 to 776 of the family's 1533-position model. The record is from RNAcentral.
UACGGGGGGUGCGAGCGUUGUCCGGAAUCACUGGGCGUAAAGAGCUCGUAGGCGGUCUGUCGCGUCGGCUGUGAAAACCCGGAGCUCAACUCCGGGCCUGCAGUCGAUACGGGCAAACUGGAGUACUGCAGGGGAGACUGGAAUUCCUGGUGUAGCGGUGAAAUGCGCAGAUAUCAGGAGGAACACCGGUGGCGAAGGCGGGUCUCUGGGCAGUAACUGACGCUGAGGAGCGAAAGCGUGGGGAGCGAACAGG